CUUAACACAUGCAAGUCGAGGGGCAGCAUGGUCUUAGCUUGCUAAGGCCGAUGGCGACCGGCGCACGGGUGAGUAACACGUAUCCAACCUGCCGUCUACUCUUGGACAGCCUUCUGAAAGGAAGAUUAAUACAAGAUGGCAUCAUGAGUCCGCAUGUUCACAUGAUUAAAGGUAUUCCGGUAGACGAUGGGGAUGCGUUCCAUUAGAUAGUAGGCGGGGUAACGGCCCACCUAGUCUUCGAUGGAUAGGGGUUCUGAGAGGAAGGUCCCCCACAUUGGAACUGAGACACGGUCCAAACUCCUACGGGAGGCAGCAGUGAGGAAUAUUGGUCAAUGGGCGAGAGCCUGAACCAGCCAAGUAGCGUGAAGGAUGACUGCCCUAUGGGUUGUAAACUUCUUUUAUAAAGGAAUAAAGUCGGGUAUGCAUACCCGUUUGCAUGUACUUUAUGAAUAAGGAUCGGCUAACUCCGUGCCAGCAGCCGCGGUAAUACGGAGGAUCCGAGCGUUAUCCGGAUUUAUUGGGUUUAAAGGGAGCGUAGAUGGAUGUUUAAGUCAGUUGUGAAAGUUUGCGGCUCAACCGUAAAAUUGCAGUUGAUACUGGAUAUCUUGAGUGCAGUUGAGGCAGGCGGAAUUCGUGGUGUAGCGGUGAAAUGCUUAGAUAUCACGAAGAACUCCGAUUGCGAAGGCAGCCUGCUAAGCUGCAACUGACAUUGAGGCUCGAAAGUGUGGGUAUCAAACAGGAUUAGAUACCCCUGGUAGUCCACACGGUAAACGAUGAAUACUCGCUGUUUGCGAUAUACGGCAAGCGGCCAAGCGAAAGCGUUAAGUAUUCCACCUGGGGAGUACGCCGGCAACGGCGAAACUCAAAGGAAUUGACGGGGGCCCGCACAAGCGGAGGAACAUGUGGUUUAAUUCGAUGAUACGCGAGGAACCUUACCCGGGCUUAAAUUGCAGAUGAAUUACGGUGAAAGCCGUAAGCCGCAAGGCAUCUGUGAAGGUGCUGCAUGGUUGUCGUCAGCUCGUGCCGUGAGGUGUCGGCUUAAGUGCCAUAACGAGCGCAACCCUUGUUGUCAGUUACUAACAGGUUCCGCUGAGGACUCUGACAAGACUGCCAUCGUAAGAUGUGAGGAAGGUGGGGAUGACGUCAAAUCAGCACGGCCCUUACGUCCGGGGCUACACACGUGUUACAAUGGGGGGUACAGAGGGCCGCUACCACGCGAGUGGAUGCCAAUCCCAAAAACCUCUCUCAGUUCGGACUGGAGUCUGCAACCCGACUCCACGAAGCUGGAUUCGCUAGUAAUCGCGCAUCAGCCACGGCGCGGUGAAUACGUUCCCGGGCCUUGUACACACCGCCCGUCAAGCCAUGGGAGCCGGGGGUACCUGAAGUGCGUAACCGCGAGGAGCGCCCUAGGGUAAAACUGGUGACUGGGGCUAAGUCGUA
Molecule: ribosomal RNA, 1440 nt
Filed under: uncultured organism
Description: SSU rRNA
Rfam family: Bacterial small subunit ribosomal RNA
Source: RNAcentral